RNAcentral lists this ribosomal RNA (253 nucleotides) under uncultured bacterium. Its description in RNAcentral is "partial 16S ribosomal RNA". It matches the Rfam family "Bacterial small subunit ribosomal RNA", at positions 524 to 776 of the family's 1533-position model. The record is from RNAcentral.
GACGAACCGAGCGAACGUUGUUCGGAAUCACUGGGCUUAAAGGGCGCGUAGGCGGGCAUUCAAGUCCGUGGUGAAAUCCCACAGCUCAACUGUGGAACUGCCUCGGAUACUGGGUGUCUCGAGGGUGGCAGGGGUAUGCGGAACUAUCGGUGGAGCGGUGAAAUGCGUUGAUAUCGAUAGGAACUCCGAUGGCGAAGGCGGCAUACUGGUCCACUUCUGACGCUGAGGCGCGAAAGCCAGGGGAGCAAACGGG